RNAcentral lists this ribosomal RNA (547 nucleotides) under uncultured bacterium. Its description in RNAcentral is "partial 16S ribosomal RNA". It matches the Rfam family "Bacterial small subunit ribosomal RNA", at positions 355 to 888 of the family's 1533-position model. The record is from RNAcentral.
UGGGGAAUUUUGGACAAUGGGCGAAAGCCUGAUCCAGCAAUGCCGCGUGUGUGAAGAAGGCCUUCGGGUUGUAAAGCACUUUUGUCCGGAAAGAAAUCCUUGGCUCUAAUACAGUCGGGGGAUGACGGUACCGGAAGAAUAAGCACCGGCUAACUACGUGCCAGCAGCCGCGGUAAUACGUAGGGUGCAAGCGUUAAUCGGAAUUACUGGGCGUAAAGCGUGCGCAGGCGGUUUGCUAAGACCGAUGUGAAAUCCCCGGGCUCAACCUGGGAACUGCAUUGGUGACUGGCAGGCUAGAGUAUGGCAGAGGGGGGUUAGAAUUCCACGUGUAGCAGUGAAGUGCGUAGAGAUGUGGAGGAAUACCGAUGGCGAAGGCAGCCCCCUGGGCCAAGUACUGACGCUCAUGCACGAAAGGCGUGGGGGAGCAAAGCAGGAUUAGAUACCCCUGGUAGUCCACGCCCUAAACGAUGUCAACUAGUUGUUGGGGAUUCAUUUCCUUAGUAACGUAGCUAACGCGUGAAGUUGACCGCCUGGGGGAGUACGGUCG